This 1249-nucleotide ribosomal RNA is filed under the name metagenome. RNAcentral describes it as "bacterial SSU rRNA". It matches the Rfam family "Archaeal small subunit ribosomal RNA", at positions 187 to 1445 of the family's 1478-position model. The record is from RNAcentral.
UAAAAAGUAAUGCCUUAGGACGAGUCGGCGGCAGAUUAGGUAGUUGGCGGUGUAAUGGACCACCAAGCCGAAGAUCUGUACGGGUCGUGAGAGCGAUCGCCCGGAGAAGGACACUGAGACACGGGUCCUAGCCCCACGGGGUGCAGCAGACGCGAAAACUUUACACUGCACGAAAGUGCGAUAAGGGAACCCAAAGUGCUUAUACUUUUAGUAUAGGCUUUUGCCAAAGGCAAAAUCUUUGGCGAAUAAGUGGUGGGUAAGACGGGUGCCAGCAGCCGCGGUAAUACCCGCGCCACAAGUGGCAAUCGGUUUUAUUUGGUCUAAAGCGUCCGUAGCAGGUCAAGCAAGUCUCUUGUGAAAUUGUUAGGCUCAACCUAACAGAAGGCAGGAGAUACUACUAGACUUGGAAUUGGUAGGGGUCAGAAGUAUUCUUAGGGUAGCGGUAAAAUGUUAUAAUCCUGAGAAGACUACCAGUGGCGAAGGCGUCUGACCAGGACAAGUUCGACUGUGAGGGACGAAAGCUAGGGGAGCGAAACGGAUUAGAUACCCGUGUAGUCCUAGCCGUAAACGCUGCAAGCAAGGUGUUGCAUAUUCUUCGGGAAUGUGCGGUAUCGAAACGAAGGUGUUAAGCUUGCCACCUGGGGAGUAUGGUCGCAAGACUGAAACUUAAAGGAAUUGGCGGGGGAGCACCACAAGGGGUGCGGCGUGCGGUUCAAUUCAACUCAACACGGAGAAUCUCACCAGAAGCGACGGCAGGAUGAAAGUCAGAUUAAAGGUUUUACUUGACGAGCCGAGAGGUAGUGCAUGGCCGUCGUCAGCUCGUGCCGUGAGGUGUCCUGUUAAGUCAGGCAACGAGCGAGACCUGUAUCUACAAUUGCCAGCAGCUUAUUGGACUGGGCACAUUGUAGAGACUGCCUUGGAAACAAGGAGGAAGGUGCAGGCUACGGUAGGUCUGUAUGCUCCGAAUCUUCUGGGCUACACGCGCGCAACAAUGAUAGCGACAAUGGGAUGCAACUCCGAAAGGAGAAGCUAAUCCUCGAAACGCUACCUUAGUUUAAAUUGAGGGUUGUAACUCACCCUCAUGACACUGGAAUCCCUAGUAAUCGGGUUUUAUCAUAACCCGGUGAAUAUGUCCCUGCUCCUUGCACACACUGCCCGUCAAACCACUCGAGCAGGGUUUAGGUGAGUAUAGGUUUUUUGAUUUAUACGAACCUAAGCUCAGUGAGAUGGGUUAAGUCGUCACAAGGUA